UCUAGCAUGUGCGCGAGUCAUUGGGACUUUUUUUCAGGAAAGCCCAGAGGCGCAAUGAAAGUGAAGAUCGGCCUUUUCGGCUUGAUCGAGGGAGGAUGGCUCAUUGUUAUUUUUUAUAACUACGAACUCGCACUCCCGGGGCGUCUCGCGCUCAUUUCGAGCGGAGGCGCACCCAGAGCGUACACGCUGGGACCCGAAAGAUGGUGAACUAUGCCUGGUCAGGACGAAGUCAGGGGAAACCCUGAUGGAGGUCCGUAGCGAUUCUGACGUGCAAAUCGAUCGUCGGAACUGGGUAUAGGGGCGAAAGACUAAUCGAACCAUC
RNAcentral lists this ribosomal RNA (322 nucleotides) under Kapala sulcifacies. RNAcentral's name for it is "eukaryotic LSU rRNA". It matches the Rfam family "Eukaryotic large subunit ribosomal RNA", at positions 674 to 944 of the family's 3401-position model. Lineage: Eukaryota; Metazoa; Arthropoda; Insecta; Hymenoptera; Eucharitidae. RNAcentral also lists the same sequence under 1 other name. The record is from RNAcentral.